Molecule: long non-coding RNA, 1221 nt
Filed under: Canis lupus familiaris (dog)
Lineage: Eukaryota; Metazoa; Chordata; Mammalia; Carnivora; Canidae
Description: lncRNA (ENSCAFG00030004492.1)
Source: RNAcentral
UCUGUGGGUUUGGUGUGGGGCUCCAUAAUUGGAGCAUUUCUAACAUGCCUCCAGGUAAUGCUUAUGUCAGGGUCUUACUUUGAGAACUAUUUUAGGAGUUGCUGACCCUCUGAUGUAUACAAGCUAGUAGAAAUUAAGUAUAACUACUUCUAAUCAAUUCCUGAGUUCAGGAAUUUAGUCCACACAAAUUCUUUUAUUUAGUUAAGUAUUUGUUGAGUGCAUAGUAACAUCUGGGUCCUCUAUUAAGUUCAGGGGAUACAGUAGGGAAUAAGGUGGGCAAAAACCCUGCUCUCGUGGAGCUUCUGUUCUUUUGGAACCCAAGACUCAGUGAGUCGCUCCUUUGUGUUUCUAAUGCUCCACUCACUUUGCUUUGUAAGUAUUUGUCUAUCUCCUCACUUAUGGUGGGAGGGACUGUAUUGUCAUUCAGUCACUCUUUCAUUAGUUUACCAGACAGUGUGCUUGCAUAAGAGAUCCAAAGUAAAAGCCAUAGUCCUCAUCCUCGGGAAAUUCCCUGUGUAGCAGGGAAGAUAACAAAUAGACAUCUACAAGCCACAGCAGUAAAUGUGAGAGAGGCUGUAGACGAUGCUAUUACCACAUGUCCACUCCCUGGCUGGUACACCUUUUCCUCAGCUGCUGCCAAUGCUAAGCUAAUGCCUUAUUUCUGCCACCUGUUUUGGCUCAUGGCCCCUAGCUAAUGAAAACCACCUGCCCUGGAGAUUGCCGAGAGGUUACCACCUACCUAUUUACUUCUUGGAGUAAGAAUAGGCUUCAGCAAGGGAAGAAGAUAGGGGAAGAAAUGAAGUCAGAAGAAUCUGUGCAAACGACCCCAUAUGUGGCUAACUGUGACUGGAACUGGGUGUGUGCUCUGGGAGAUGAGCCUGGAUGGUAUGGAUGAUGAAAGUUUUUCAGUGACACAGGUGGCCAUUUCAUGCUAUCUUCAGGAUUUUAAGUGGCAUUCAGCAGCUUUGGUGACCAGCUACGUCGUUUGGCAGCGGGCUAAAGUGCUCACAAUUGCACAGAGCAAGGAGCAUGCUGUACAGUGAUGUUCCAGUUUAAAAGGACAGAGCUGCAAACAAAGGUCAGUGCCCCACAUAGAAGGUACUUGAUAUAUGUGUGAUGAGUGAAUAAGUGAAUUACUGGUUGUCUACUCUCCUGAAGAAUGACCAGUUUCUGUUAAGUUAUGCACACUUUCAAGUUACCCUUCUGCAUUCUGCUUCUCAU